Dendroctonus ponderosae (mountain pine beetle) is the source of this 697-nucleotide long non-coding RNA. RefSeq lists it as uncharacterized. NCBI's taxonomy places the organism in Eukaryota, Metazoa, Arthropoda, Insecta, Coleoptera, Curculionidae. The record is from RefSeq and is a predicted model, not a curated record. The transcript has 2 exons.
AUACCUAGAAAACAAGUGUUUUGUACUAUAAUUCCUCAUAAAAUUAAUAUAAAUAUAACCAAACUACACUUGCUUAUAUUUAUUACUUACAAAUACAUAAUAAUAAUAAAUUAUACUUCUUUUAUAUCAUAAAAAGCAAGUCUUAGGUCGGUGUGUUUAGUCGAUCUUUUACAAUGCGCCGGCCUCCCAACGUUCGCUUGAGGCAAUUUUGGUUGCACACCCCAUGGACACCCAUUUUAAUGUUGUUGAUGCGGUGGGAAUUUGUCGGAGAUGGGUGUAGGCAUUUCCGAACGCUCGCCAAAGCUAUUUUGUACGCAAAAGUUCUCAACUUCUCAUGUUUUUAUACUAUUUUUGUUUCAAAUUUAUAGAUGACCAUCUCGAUGUAUUGUACAGUGUUAAUCGGGAUAAUUCAGACUUGGAAUUAGAUUUGAACAUACCACAAACGUAUAUUCGAGACAUGGAAAAUAGUGAAGAGACAUUUCCUGAAGCCGAUUUCAGAAAACCGCUCCGUUUCUCAAAGAAAAUUGUGCAAAAUGUUUUGUUCCAUUAAUCAAUCACUUUCUUCUCACAAUUCUUUUCAUAAUGAUAUUUUUAUUAAUUAAUUUUAUUGUCAGUUCCUACUUGGUAAAACAAUUCAAGCUUGUCUGUAUGGUGUGUUGUUGAAAGAAUAAUAAUAAUAAACAAAGUUAUUACUGCA